GGGGAUUUAGCUCAGUGGUAGAGCGCUUGCCUAGGAAGCGCAAGCGCAAGGCCCUGGGUUCGGUCCCCAGCUCCG
Molecule: non-coding RNA, 75 nt
Organism: Rattus norvegicus (Norway rat)
Lineage: Eukaryota; Metazoa; Chordata; Mammalia; Rodentia; Muridae
Source: Rfam